AUGUAUGUAUGUAGGGUAUGUAUGUAUGUAGCACAUGUAUGUAUGUAUGUAUGUAUGUAUGUAUGUAUGUAUGUAGCACAUGUAUGUAUGUAGCGUAUGUAUGUAUCACAUGUAUGUAUGUAUGUAUGUAUGUAUGUAUGUAUGUAUGUAGCACAUGUAUGUAUGUAUGUAUGUAUGUAUGUAUGUAGCACAUGUAUGUAUGUAUGUAUGUAUGUAUGUAUGUAUGUAUGUAUGUAGCACAUGUAUGUAUGUAUGUAUGUAUGUAUGUAUGUAUGUAGCACAUGUAUGUAUGUAUGUAGCACAUGUAUGUAUGUAUGUAUGUAUGUAUGUAUGUAGCACAUGUAUGUAUGUAUGUAUGUAUCGUAUGUAUGUAUGUAUGUAUGUAUGUAUGUAUGUAUGUAUG
Molecule: long non-coding RNA, 403 nt
Organism: Ictalurus punctatus (channel catfish)
Lineage: Eukaryota; Metazoa; Chordata; Actinopteri; Siluriformes; Ictaluridae
Source: Ensembl